GCCAGGCGCGGUGGCUCACGCCUGUAAUCCCAGCUCUUUGGGAGGCCGAGGCGGGCGGAUCACCUGAGGUCAGGAGUUUGAGACCAGCCUGGCCAACAUGGUGAAACCCCGUCUCUA
RNAcentral lists this non-coding RNA (117 nucleotides) under Gorilla gorilla gorilla (western lowland gorilla). The record is from Rfam by way of RNAcentral. Lineage: Eukaryota; Metazoa; Chordata; Mammalia; Primates; Hominidae.